This 291-nucleotide unclassified non-coding RNA is filed under the name Absidia glauca. RNAcentral describes it as "sequence contains 5.8S rRNA gene". The stretch from base 1 to 53 matches the Rfam family "5.8S ribosomal RNA", at positions 102 to 154 of the family's 154-position model. Lineage: Eukaryota; Fungi; Mucoromycota; Mucoromycetes; Mucorales; Cunninghamellaceae. The record is from RNAcentral.
GAACGCAUCUUGCACCCUUUGGUAUUCCAAAGGGUACGCCUGUUUCAGUAUCAUUAUAACCUUUCUCCCCAAGGCUUUUUGGCCAAGGAGGGAAAGAGCAUAACCGGUGGCCCAGCGGUCUCCCUUCAGGGGGAUUGUCUCGGCUGGAAUGACUGUUGCAAUGGUGGGCCAAAUGGUCUUCCGCACUUGAUAAAUGUACUUUUAUAAAGAGCGGGACCGGUCUGCCGAAAGUUGUAACUAAACCCUUUACAUUUGAUCUGAAAUCAGGCGGGAUUACCCGCUGAACUUAAG